Molecule: long non-coding RNA, 1343 nt
Filed under: Salvator merianae (Argentine black and white tegu)
Lineage: Eukaryota; Metazoa; Chordata; Lepidosauria; Squamata; Teiidae
Description: lncRNA (ENSSMRG00000014855.1)
Source: RNAcentral
CCUGGUAGCACCAAAAAUUAUUUCAUCCAUAAUAUCUGUAUGUCAUUCCGUAGAACUUGAUGAAACCUCUCAUUUCAUGGUAUUUUGGGGAGAAAUCAUGUUAAAAAAAUGAAAUAAUGAAGUUGUUUUUAAUUUAAGGACCCAAUUUUUACCUUUUUUCUGCACCCAGCCAGCUGUUGAAGAAAUAUAACUCCUAUCUGUCUGUCUGAAGAAUAAACACUACACUGCAGCAACAUCUAGACAGCCACAUGUUCACCACCCCUGCCUUAAUAAAUAAGACUCGUAUCGGUCAGCAGUAUGGGGCUAGUAUUACCAUAUUUUUAAAAUGCUGCUGAAUUUCUUUCUUUUAUUCGAAUAUCAAAGAAGCAGGAUCCCUGUCAUCUUCUUCCAUAUGGUAGUCCAAGCCAAGCACCCAAGGAAAGAAAACAAUAUUAAGAUUUCUUGAGACACUUUUACUCCACCCUAUCCACAGCUCUCCAUCAGGAGCGGUUCAAUCGCACAGUGACAGGUAUCAAAUGCCGAAUGUGGACAGGCAGUGACUGGGGGAGUCGGGGAGGACAAGUUCUCUCCCCGCCCGCCCCCCGAAAAAGCCCCGACCUUUGACAAUAAAGCCAAACCCGACUCACCAGCUUUUAGGCCCGGUCGCCCACCGGCGAAAAAUGAUGCAACCUGAGAGCAAGUAAAAGAAGCAUGACAGGAAGUUUAGGAAGAAGAAAAAAGAGGGAGGGGAGGGGAGCGAGCGAACAGAAUCCAAACACGCCCCCUUGCCGCAGCCGAUCACGUCGCUUCAUGCAGAGACUGCGAAGAAGGCGUCUUCCCAUUGGGCAGCAGAGUCGCCGAGCAACCAGCAUGGGCAGGGCGGCCUGGCAGGCUAAGAAAAUGGAGGCGUCGCCGGCUCUGCUGCGUUGGCUGGGCCGGAGAGAAGGGAAGGGUUGGUGUGUCCCACGACUUGUCUCGCCCGGUCGGCGCAGUUUUGCUCGUCGCCCGGGAUCGAAGCCAUGUUUGCGUGAGGUGGGCUGGAAGUGGACGUGGCAAGAGACCAGAAGAGGGCACUAUUUCUACUCAUGAUCAGGGUGAACCCUUCUUAUAAUUCAGCUCUUGGAUUCAUUCAGUUCCACUGAUGCUGCUUCUUGAGUGUAAAUGGUGCUUCAGCAAGCAUUACCUAUGNGUUUCUGAUAGGCUUCUGCUGAACUGGAGUUCAGGGCUACUGAAGGAUCCUAAGAGGGCUGCCAUUAUCCAGUACCCUAUCCUGAAAAUUGACCGCCCCCCCCCCCGCAUGGCAACAAGGAGAAGGUGAGGAAAAGAAGCAAGCAAAUAAAUGCAAUGGAGCUGAAUGGAGAACA